AACCAUAGAAACCUGCGGAGUACCUGCGGAGGGAUCAUUAUCGAGUUGCAAAACUCCAACCCUUUGUGAACAUACCUCAGUCGUUGCUUCGGCGGUGGACGGCCUUUUUUCGAAAAGGCCCGAAGCCGCCGGAGGUUCCAAACUCGUGUUUUGUUUAGUGUAUCUCUGAGCCUGAAAACAAAUAAUCAAAACUUUUAACAACGGAUCU
RNAcentral lists this unclassified non-coding RNA (208 nucleotides) under soil metagenome. RNAcentral describes it as "partial contains 5.8S ribosomal RNA, internal transcribed spacer 2, and large subunit ribosomal RNA". The record is from RNAcentral.